Nomia melanderi (Alkali bee) is the source of this 4190-nucleotide long non-coding RNA. RefSeq lists it as uncharacterized. Lineage: Eukaryota; Metazoa; Arthropoda; Insecta; Hymenoptera; Halictidae. The record is from RefSeq and is a predicted model, not a curated record.
GUAACUGAUUCCAAUUAAACAAGAUUUCGCCCGAGUAUUGCGCUUUAUAUAGAAUAUUUAUUCGAUCUCCUCGAAUGAACAGGUUUUUCACCGUAAAUUUUUCACGGUAUAAAUGUUGAAGAACGCUUAAACCUCUGAUAUGUAUACUAAUUUGUUUUUUAAUGAAAUCUAUGAAAACCAUAAUCCUGGCGUACUGUGUGAAUUUCGUUCUGAAUUUUACUUGAAAAGUUUUGCUUCUGUUUUAUCAUUUCUCCGAUGAUCACAGAUCAGCUUUCCCAAUGAAGCCUAGGGUUCUUUUGCGUGAAAUGGCCUUUAACUUCUACCGUCUCGAGCAUAAAACCCGAAUAUCCUUACUCGCAAUACAUUCUAAUACCACCACCAUUCUACCUGGGAAACUUUAUACGGUUCACAGACGCACCGAUACGUACACUUCAACGAAAGAACAGCUAGGUGCACCUACCGUGCGUUUGUAUUCGUAUUGGAUGCCAUUCUACCAACUGCAAGCUUUUACGACUUACGUGCUACGCUCCUCACUUUACGUGUACGCUCUAUACGUAACGUUAUGCCCUCGUAACUUCGUCCAAGCGUGUUGAUUGCACCGUCGAAAUAUCCAGGUUUGAGAUAUCGACGAUCUACAGGAAAAGCAGCUCACAACAACACACGAGAGAGAAGUAAAGGCGACCGAGGAGAAUGGUUAAAGACAAAAUGGCGUGUACACGGAAACUGAUGGAAAGAUUGCAAUCACAUUAAAGAAAACUACCAAAAACCAAUAUUUUCUAACCAAGAUUACGCAGAUGAAAUUCGAUCGAUAUUCGACAUGAUAUCUUAUUUCGCUAAUUGAAAAUUCACUUUUCAAUAACUUCUGUAAGUAAUAACGAUACGAUUUCUAACAUGAAAAAUUCUUUUAAUAUUACUAAUUCAAAAGUUAUAAAAUCGUCUCCUGACCGUCCAACUGGGAUGACAGCCCUUGUUUACGCAGGACAUUUCAAAACAAUUCUGAACAAUUUUUAUGAAAAUUAUUGAAUAAUCUACUCAAUCCAGCUAACGUACUGAAUCCAUCGCUAAAGUUAUGUUCGCAUGUUUCGAAACAACCUGUAUAGCAGAAAGAAAAUAUCGCAAAAUCGAACGAUAUUAAAUGUCUAAACGUUUUUAAAAAUUCAAUAAUUUACUGCAUUUAUGUCGUGCUUUAACGUACUGUAAAUCAUAACCUAAACGUAUUCCCAGCAACAGGAAUCUCUUGAAACGAAUACCGACUUCUCAUGGAAUGGUCAAACCAAGAAACAAGGUACAUGUACAACAAAAUUUAAGUACACGUACCUGUUGGCUAAAUGACAAAUCGUAGUACGGAAUUGAGACACAGUGUAACGAAUCUGCGACAAAAACAAAGAAGAUUUAGUUUUUGUGUUCAGACUCGAAAUGGUAACAGAAUAAUUCUAUUUGUAUAAAGAUCUUUACUGCAUAUGCUUUUAGUUUAUGUUUAACAGUAGUAAACCUUCGCUAUUCCUCUAUUAUAUUGUAAUAUUAUAUUGUGGGAAUAGAUGUAUAUGAUAAACAAAUGUGCAAUAAAUAAACAGCGUAACUGUACGUGUACUUACGUGUAUUUUGCAUAUAUGUUCAAGGCAUUGGAAUAUUCUGAACCAAAUUCAUUUUCUGUAUUAUUGAUUUGCAUAUGUUAAUGACGUUCGUGUUAAAUGAAUCGUACGUACGUGCGAUUUGAUUUCGAUUCAUUGUUUUAUUGCAAGUCGUAUAAUAAAGCUAUUGUUUCCACAAAUACAAUAUUCUCUUUCUCCUACAAUAUAAGAGUUCAUGAGCUCAAACGAGAUAGUAAUUUCCACAUAAUUGAAAGUAUUAUCAUUGUUGCGAUAGACUUCGCGACCAUUCACAAAAUUACUGUAACUUGCAGAUCGCACUGAUGUGCACCGAACAAUUAAGUUAUUUCACUUUGUUGAAAAAAUCCAAAGUUUCGAAAAUGUGUCCGAUGACGCGACUUUAUCUGAAAGUCGAGUAGAGUUGCCCGAGUCCGAAUCCAUCCUACCCGAUCUGCUCGUUCUAUUUUCGUGACGCUCUUACACCCUCUUAAAAACCCUAGGUUCGUCCCCCUCCAAUAUGUCUUUAGGUGGAAGUUAUCCAAGAUGUCAUAGGGUGGAAGAAACCAAUGAAUUUAUUAACAGCGCAAAAAAAAACUUUUUCUGAAAAAGAGACAAGAGUACAAAGUUUAAAAAAAGCGUUUCAUUUAAAACAUAUAUACCUGUCAAAUAGUACAAAGAUUCCUUGUACGAAUAUUUUCGUAACAACUUUGAUCUGAAAUAUUUUUUCGCAUCUUCAAUAACUACGGAGAUACUCGAGUGUACGCGAAUAAAACAGACAUAUGUACUUUCGUAAAUAAUGAUAGCAUGUGUCUGCUAUCUUUAUUUUCUUAAGGAUACUGCAAAAACUGUGAACCGUAAGAAAUAGUACGUAGGUAAUCAUGACGCCUCUGCAAGAAGAAAUUCGCUAUCAGAAUGAGAUUUCCUCAUUUACUUCCGUAGUACAUAAUGUAAACAUGAUUGUAUCGAAGCCAAAAUGACGCUACACCCAAGAUUUAUUAUUAUUUAUUCAAUUUAUUUUGGAAACUGUUUAACAGCACGUGAAACCCCAAACUAAUAACUGAUGUGAAUAACAAAAUUUGACAAAUUUCCAAAACUAAUCUACGAAAAAGAAAACAAAAAUUUGACGCCAGAUGAGUGGUAGUGGUUUGUUAAUACGGAUUAAAGUGCAGGCUACAAUGAAAAUAUAUUCGCUUUGUGAUGGCCUGUACUUGCGUUCCCCAGACUUAAAUAUUAUUGAAAAUUGAAUACGGGCAUCUGACUGUCAGUUAAGUGAAACAAUUUGUCACAAAAAAAAAUAAAAAAGUUAUUCAAACCGUUACUGAAACGUAUGUAUGUAUGUAUGUAUGUACGUAUAUACAUUAUAUACGUGUGUACAUAUAUAAUUAUUUUUACUGUCCGUAGUAUCCUUUUGUACAGUAAUGUAGACAUUAUUUCUUGUUCUUUAUAACAAUGUUUGUUUGCACAAAAGCAUCCUAUAACACUGUUCAACAAAUUUAAACUUUCUUUGUGUUUUUUAGUAGUCACUAGGUGAUCCUUAUAGAGCUCGUUACCUUAAAUGCAAAUCCGAAAACCAAAUUGUUGUAAGUAAAUUUAGUUUGUCUCUAUCUUCGUCAAUAUUCAAGUUGAUCAAAACUGUAAAAAGUUUCAACGAAUAAUUAGGCUUCCAAUAAACUAUUUGGUAAAAUAUCACUGCAUAUGCAACUACAAUCCAUAAUUGCCCUUAAAGUCCCUUUUUCUAAAUCUGAUUCCGCGUUAAAAACAAUAAGAGUGGUUUUUCUAGACUCUAGCCUGAAGACUUUAGACUCUAGACGAAUGCCUGAACAAGAAGGGCUGAUAUUCUCAACCGUAAUGGAAUUCAAGAGAGAAUAUUUUCGAAAUAUUUGAUAGUCGAAUACAAUCAUAUUAAAAUGAAGAAAAUGAUCUUUUGUUUGCCGAAUUAUAGUCAUUCGAUUUUUUCGUUUAUUCUUUUAGGGGAUCCUUCUUCGGAUUAUUUUUGUCUACGUCUCACAUUUCUCUAUUUCUCGUAUGGUAGUCGAUGUACCAACAAUGGAUAACAUUUUACCGACAUGAAUGACUUACACUUAUUAUGAAAAUUUAUAACACUUUCUUGUUCUUCUGGUGUCGUAUUUUCACUCUUUUCGAUCCAUGGUAACUUCAAACGACAAAUUACAACAUUUAUUUUCAACACAACAACCUCAAAGGAUACCUUCGAGACAACUGAUGCCUCGAAUGUUUACAUUUGAUGUUCUCCAUUGUAAAUAAAGUACACAACAAAUUAUAACGUACUGGACAUUGCACAAGAGUUCGUCUUUGGAAGAAAUGUGAAUGAAUCUUUCUAAAGAAAGAUCUAAUUGGUCAGUUUUGAUCUGUCCUGAUCUCAUUUUCAAUUCUAAUUUGUACGUAUCCAGUCAAAAUUGUAAAUAAAACACAACGACAGAUUCCUAUUGUCCCACUGCUGUCUCAAAGAUCAUCUCGUGUACAACGAAAAGAAAAGUAUUAACUGCACGAAUUUGUAUUGCUCAUAUAUUUUCGCCAUUUUACGAAUAUUAAUUAAUGUUUCAACCAAGGAUACAGAUAUCGCGUUAAUGUCUUUGUAAUUAU